GCAUUAAUGGGGUAGUGGUAACCUGGGUCGUUGCCAUACAGGGCUUAGCUAUGACUAGUCUCGACCCGCCGGGGGUUCGAUUCCCUCUUAAUGCA
Marasmius tenuissimus is the source of this 95-nucleotide non-coding RNA. NCBI's taxonomy places the organism in Eukaryota, Fungi, Basidiomycota, Agaricomycetes, Agaricales, Marasmiaceae. The record is from the annotation of a GenBank genome assembly.